This 460-nucleotide ribosomal RNA is filed under the name uncultured bacterium. RNAcentral describes it as "partial 16S ribosomal RNA". It matches the Rfam family "Bacterial small subunit ribosomal RNA", at positions 338 to 795 of the family's 1533-position model. The record is from RNAcentral.
CCUACGGGUCGCAGCAGUGAGGAAUAUUGGUCAAUGGGCGCGAGCCUGAACCAGCCAAGUAGCGUGAAGGAUGACUGCCCUACGGGUUGUAAACUUCUUUUAUAAAGGAAUAAAAUGAAGCACGUUUGCCUUUUUGUAUGUACUUUAUGAAUAAGGAUAGGCUUACUCCGUGCCAGCAGCAGCGGUAAUAAGGAGGAUCCGAGCGUUAUCCGGAUUUAUUGGGUUUAAAGGACGCUUAGAUGGGUUGUUAGGUCAGUUGUGAAAGUUUGCAGCUCAACCGUAAGAUUGCAAUUGAUCCUGGCAGUCUUGAGUACAGUUGAGGUAGGCGGAAUUCGUGGUGUAGCGGUGAAAUGCUUAGAUAGCACGAAGAACUCCGAUUGCGAAGGCAGCUUACUAAACUGCCACUGACAUUGAUGCUCGAAAGUGUGGGUAUCAAACAGGAUUAGAUACCCGAGUAGUC